UUGGGCACUCUAGCCAGACUGCCGGUGAUAAAUCGGAGGAAGGUGGGACGACGUCAAAUCAUCAUGCCCUUUAUGUCCUGGGCUACACACGUACUACAAUGGCCGUUACAACGGGAAGCGAAGGAGCAAUCCGGAGCAAAUCCCUUAAAGGCGGUCCCAGUUCAGAUUGUGGGCUGAAACUCGCCCACAUGAAGGCGGAAUUGCUAGUAAUUGCAGAUCAGCAUGCUGCAGUGAAUACGUUCCCGGGCCUU
Molecule: ribosomal RNA, 251 nt
Filed under: uncultured bacterium
Lineage: Bacteria
Description: partial 16S ribosomal RNA
Rfam family: Bacterial small subunit ribosomal RNA
Source: RNAcentral